NNCUGCGUCGAGUUCGGUAAGCGGAAACGCCCGACGGCUUGCAUAUAGGGCCGGACAACUCGUAACGCAGUUUU
The submitters of this non-coding RNA (74 nucleotides) gave its source as unclassified sequences. The record is from Rfam.